RNAcentral lists this ribosomal RNA (348 nucleotides) under uncultured eukaryote. RNAcentral's name for it is "bacterial SSU rRNA". It matches the Rfam family "Eukaryotic small subunit ribosomal RNA", at positions 21 to 373 of the family's 1831-position model. The record is from RNAcentral.
AUUGUAGUCAUAUGCUUGUCUCAAAGAUUAAGCCAUGCAUGUCCAAGUGUAAACCAAUUUGUACGGUGAAACUGCGAAUGGCUCAUUAAAUCAGUUAUAAUUUAUUUGAUGCUUUCUUACUACAUGGAUAACCGUGGCAACCCAGAGCUAAUACAUGCAACAGGACUCGCAAGAGUCGCAUUUAUUGGAUUCGAACCAACAUGCAGCAAUGCAUCGCGUGGUGAUUCACAUUAACUUUGCGGAUCGCAUGACCUUGCGUCGGCGACGCUUCAUUCAAAUUUCUGCCCUAUCAACUAUCGAUGGUAGGAUAGAGGCCUACCAUGGUUACAACGGGUAACGGGGAAUAAU